AUUGAACGCUGGCGGCGUGCUUAACACAUGCAAGUCGAUCGGUAACAGGUGUAGCAAUACAUGCUGACGAGAGGCGGACGGGUGAGGAAUAUUUGGGAAUCUGCCCAUCAGCGGGGGACAACCCGGGGAAACCCGGGCUAAUACCGCAUACGCUCUACGGAGGAAAGCCGGGGACCGCAAGGCCUGGCACUGAUGGAUGAGCCCAAAUCGGAUUAGCUAGUUGGCGGGGUAACGGCCCACCAAGGCGACGAUCCGUAGCUGGUCUGAGAGGACGAUCAGCCACACCGGAACUGAGACACGGUCCGGACUCCUACGGGAGGCAGCAGUGGGGAAUAUUGGACAAUGGGGGAAACCCUGAUUCAGCGACGCCGCGUGGGCGAAGAAGGCCUGCGGGUUGUAAAGCCCUUUCGGUAGGGACGAAAGCUCUUGCUCUAAUAAUGCAAGAGGUUGACUUAACCUACAUAAGAAGCACCGGCUAACUCUGUGCCAGCAGCCGCCGUAA
RNAcentral lists this ribosomal RNA (502 nucleotides) under uncultured bacterium. RNAcentral's name for it is "partial 16S ribosomal RNA". It matches the Rfam family "Bacterial small subunit ribosomal RNA", at positions 29 to 523 of the family's 1533-position model. The record is from RNAcentral.